Molecule: ribosomal RNA, 396 nt
Filed under: Brevundimonas diminuta
Lineage: Bacteria; Pseudomonadati; Pseudomonadota; Alphaproteobacteria; Caulobacterales; Caulobacteraceae
Description: bacterial SSU rRNA
Rfam family: Bacterial small subunit ribosomal RNA
Source: RNAcentral
AGCGAACGCUGGCGGCAGGCCUAACACAUGCAAGUCGAACGAACUCUUCGGAGUUAGUGGCGGACGGGUGAGUAACACGUGGGAACGUGCCUUUUGGUUCGGAAUAACUCAGGGAAACUUGUGCUAAUACCGAAUGUGCCCUUCGGGGGAAAGAUUUAUCGCCAUUAGAGCGGCCCGCGUCUGAUUAGCUAGUUGGUGAGGUAAAAGCUCACCAAGGCGACGAUCAGUAGCUGGUCUGAGAGGAUGACCAGCCACACUGGGACUGAGACCCGGCCCAGACUCCUACGGGAGGCAGCAGUGGGGAAUCUUGCGCAAUGGGCGAAAGCCUGACGCAGCCAUGCCGCGUGAAUGAUGAAGGUCUUAGGAUUGUAAAAUUCUUUCACCGGGGACGAUAAG